RNA transcript from Bactrocera dorsalis (oriental fruit fly), 5082 nucleotides. It is a transcript of the gene named piggyBac transposable element-derived protein 4-like, with no coding region annotated. The transcript has 2 exons. Lineage: Eukaryota; Metazoa; Arthropoda; Insecta; Diptera; Tephritidae. The record is from RefSeq and is a predicted model, not a curated record.
AUGGAACUAAAUCGGCCGAAUUCUUUUAAAAAUAAUAUACCAGACAGAAAGUGGUUGCAAGGGUUUUUGAAAAGAAAUCCCACAGUGAGUCAACGUGUUUCGCAAUCCUUAACAGUUUCUCGUGCAUCGGUAACAGAAUCUUCCAUAAGAAGUUGGUUUAAAAGAGUAUAUCAAUACUUGGAAAAUAACAAUUGUCUCGAUGUUUUAGAAGAUUCAACACGAAUCUUCAACUGUGAUGAGUCCGCGUUUUUUCUUUGUCCAAAAGGUCAAGCAGUUUUGACAAAACGCGGUUCAAAGCAUGUAUACUUCAGAUCUGGCAAUGAUGAUAAAGAAUGUUUUACAUUAUGCAUAGGAGCUUCCGCUUCCGGUAAAAUGAUGCCAACUUUUGCUCUCUUUCCAUACAAAAGACUUCCAACCAACAUACUUUCCAAAUUUCCUUCUGAUUGGGCUAUUGGAAAGUCGGAUUCAGGCUGGAUGACCUGUGAAACAUUUUAUGAAUAUAUAACAAAUGUCUUUUAUCCCUUCAUCCUGAAAGAAAAUAUACAACUCCCAAUCGUACUAUUUUUGGAUGGGCACACCUCACAUUUGUCGCUGCAUCUUAUUGAGUUUUGCAAGAAGCAAGGAAUCAUACUUAUAGCGCUUCUUCCAAACUCGACACACUUGCUGCAAUCAAUGGAUGUUGCAGUAUUUCAUAGUUUAAAAAAUGACUGGAGAAAGCAAAUACAAAAUUGGAGAAUGCUAAAUAAUGGACAAAGAAUAAAACGGGAAGAUUUCGGACCUAUUGUUCAGAAAUACAUACAAUCUACAAUCACUUCUGAUAUACUACAAAACGGUUUUAAGGCUUGUGGCAUAUUUCCGUUUAAUGAAGAUGCAGUGGCUUACAAUAAAAUUUUAAAACCUGACAUCAGAGACACAUCCAAUAUAAUCAGAGUACCAAACAUGAAUAUCGCAGAAAUUUCAGAGAACUAUGAAGCAACAAAAACACUUGAAACUAAUUCCGAAGAAUUUUUACAAAGUUUUGAGAAAAGGUUGCCGGCUGAAAAGCUUAAACUGUUUAUUGAGUGCAGCGGAACUUGGAAAGGUGAUGUUAAGGACGAAAACUUAUUUUACUUUUUGAGAAGUGUUAAGAAUGAGCAAACAAGCAGCUGCAUUGCAAGUAUUUCUAAUUCCGAUCUUAAUAUUACGAGUAUUUUAGCUAACAACGACUGUUUAUUGGAUAUCGAAAACAUGAGUAUUGAUUUCAUAGAUUUCAAUGAAGAAUUAGUUAACAAACAUAAUUUGAGCAGCUCAACUUCAUCUUGUGCCGUGAAGUCCAAGCAGCGUAAAGUAGUACAUAUAUUGGACAGUGUACCUUGCCCAGUAGCUCAAGCCAUUAACUUCGAAGAUAUCCCAACAACUGUCAACCAUCCACCAAGACCUCAGUUGCCCCCUAGGGAGGCGAAUGGCAAUGUAGACGUGGUUAAUAUUAACCCUCUGUGACUGAUGUGGUAGUCUAGCAGACACCAACAGGCACAAAAGAGUAUUUUGUACCGUUAUUUUCCAUACAUCUACUCUCUCGUUCUCUGUACCUUCUUAUUGUGUACUCAUGCCUAUGUUAGUUUGUUCAGAUCGAUUGAUGUAAGCACACGUGCCAUUUUAAGCGAUAAAGUGUCUGCGAGUCAACCACAUCAAUAUUAAGUUUUGUUAUUAUGGAGAAAUCAAACAUAUCACAACAUUGUUCUAAGAGAACCUCAUGUGGAACUUUUAAAAACCGAAAUGAGGUAAUACUACAGUGGCUGGAGGAAGAGAGUGAGCAUGAGUUCAGCGAUAUGGAUGGUGAAUGCAAUGACCCCAAUUUUCAGCCAGAAACGGCUCUUUUAGAUAAUGAUGAAGACAAUGAAGAACAACAUGCGACUACCUCUGAGCCACAAAAUAUUUGUGAAGAAGUGAAUCAACAUCCAACAAGCGACUACUACAAAGGUAAGAAAGGAUUUUUGUGGAGUGCAAGAGAGCGACCAAAAACAUCUAGAACAGCAGCCCAUAACAUAGUUAGACUACCAGGUCGUCUGCAUACUUCUACCUUUGAAGGAUAUUUACAGCUAUGGUCCAAAAUUUUUGACGAAUCCAUGUUGGAAUGUUUAGUACAAUAUACUAAUCAAAAACUCUGUAACUACCGAGCUAAAUUUAAUAAUACUACAAAGGUGGAACUUAUGGAUACUUAUGUAACGGAAAUGAAAGCAUUCAUUGGCCUACUAUACUACACUUCAGUUUUUAAAUGUAAUGACGCAGAUCUUCGCACAAUAUUCGCAACCGAUGGCAGUGGCCGUGAAAUAUUUCGUUGUGGGAUGUCAAAUUUACGUUUUUCUUCUUUAGUAAACUGCCUUAGGUUUGACGAUUCAACUACCAGAGCGGAGCGUCUCAAAGACGAUCAACUUGCGCCAAUUUCAAAUUUCUUCAACAAAUUUAUUCUAAACAGUCAAUUUCAAUAUACACCCGGACCAUACCUUUGCAUCGAUGAAAUGUUACUGCCGUUUAAAGGUCGCUGCAAGUUUAUAAUUUACAUGCCUCAGAAACCAGCAAAGUAUGGCAUUAAAAUAAUGUUGUUAGUCGAUGCUCGCACAUACUACAUUUACAAUGCUUAUAUUUAUCAUGGUAAAAAUUCUGACGGUAUAUCCUGUUCCGAAGCAAACUCUACUGGACAAAAUUAAAUAUGUACAAGUAUUCAAAAGGCUGCCCAGGAGCUUCAGCUGUGCUAACGACAGAAGAAGAAAGUUUUAUUGUCAAAUGGGUUUGUUAUCUGGCGGAAAUAGGCUUUCCAGUAACAAAAUAUCAACUUUGAAACUGCGUUACUAACUUGGUUAUGGAACUAAAUCGGCCGAAUUCUUUUAAAAAUAAUAUACCAGACAGAAAGUGGUUGCAAGGGUUUUUGAAAAGAAAUCCCACAGUGAGUCAACGUGUUUCGCAAUCCUUAACAGUUUCUCGUGCAUCGGUAACAGAAUCUUCCAUAAGAAGUUGGUUUAAAAGAGUAUAUCAAUACUUGGAAAAUAACAAUUGUCUCGAUGUUUUAGAAGAUUCAACACGAAUCUUCAACUGUGAUGAGUCCGCGUUUUUUCUUUGUCCAAAAGGUCAAGCAGUUUUGACAAAACGCGGUUCAAAGCAUGUAUACUUCAGAUCUGGCAAUGAUGAUAAAGAAUGUUUUACAUUAUGCAUAGGAGCUUCCGCUUCCGGUAAAAUGAUGCCAACUUUUGCUCUCUUUCCAUACAAAAGACUUCCAACCAACAUACUUUCCAAAUUUCCUUCUGAUUGGGCUAUUGGAAAGUCGGAUUCAGGCUGGAUGACCUGUGAAACAUUUUAUGAAUAUAUAACAAAUGUCUUUUAUCCCUUCAUCCUGAAAGAAAAUAUACAACUCCCAAUCGUACUAUUUUUGGAUGGGCACACCUCACAUUUGUCGCUGCAUCUUAUUGAGUUUUGCAAGAAGCAAGGAAUCAUACUUAUAGCGCUUCUUCCAAACUCGACACACUUGCUGCAAUCAAUGGAUGUUGCAGUAUUUCAUAGUUUAAAAAAUGACUGGAGAAAGCAAAUACAAAAUUGGAGAAUGCUAAAUAAUGGACAAAGAAUAAAACGGGAAGAUUUCGGACCUAUUGUUCAGAAAUACAUACAAUCUACAAUCACUUCUGAUAUACUACAAAACGGUUUUAAGGCUUGUGGCAUAUUUCCGUUUAAUGAAGAUGCAGUGGCUUACAAUAAAAUUUUAAAACCUGACAUCAGAGACACAUCCAAUAUAAUCAGAGUACCAAACAUGAAUAUCGCAGAAAUUUCAGAGAACUAUGAAGCAACAAAAACACUUGAAACUAAUUCCGAAGAAUUUUUACAAAGUUUUGAGAAAAGGUUGCCGGCUGAAAAGCUUAAACUGUUUAUUGAGUGCAGCGGAACUUGGAAAGGUGAUGUUAAGGACGAAAACUUAUUUUACUUUUUGAGAAGUGUUAAGAAUGAGCAAACAAGCAGCUGCAUUGCAAGUAUUUCUAAUUCCGAUCUUAAUAUUACGAGUAUUUUAGCUAACAACGACUGUUUAUUGGAUAUCGAAAACAUGAGUAUUGAUUUCAUAGAUUUCAAUGAAGAAUUAGUUAACAAACAUAAUUUGAGCAGCUCAACUUCAUCUUGUGCCGUGAAGUCCAAGCAGCGUAAAGUAGUACAUAUAUUGGACAGUGUACCUUGCCCAGUAGCUCAAGCCAUUAACUUCGAAGAUAUCCCAACAACUGUCAACCAUCCACCAAGACCUCAGUUGCCCCCUAGGGAGGCGAAUGGCAAUGUAGACGUGGUUAAUAUUAACCCUCUGUGACUGAUGUGGUAGUCUAGCAGACACCAACAGGCACAAAAGAGUAUUUUGUACCGUUAUUUUCCAUACAUCUACUCUCUCGUUCUCUGUACCUUCUUAUUGUGUACUCAUGCCUAUGUUAGUUUGUUCAGAUCGAUUGAUGUAAGCACACGUGCCAUUUUAAGCGAUAAAGUGUCUGCGAGUCAACCACAUCAAUAUUAAGGUAGGUGUCUGUGAGACAAUCACAUCAGUAUUUUUGUUAUAUUUUCAUAGUGUCUCCUAAACAACACGUCAGUAAAAUUGUUAUUUUAUAGUUUUGUUAUUAUGGAGAAAUCAAACAUAUCACAACAUUGUUCUAAGAGAACCUCAUGUGGAACUUUUAAAAACCGAAAUGAGGUAAUACUACAGUGGCUGGAGGAAGAGAGUGAGCAUGAGUUCAGCGAUAUGGAUGGUGAAUGCAAUGACCCCAAUUUUCAGCCAGAAACGGCUCUUUUAGAUAAUGAUGAAGACAAUGAAGAACAACAUGCGACUACCUCUGAGCCACAAAAUAUUUGUGAAGAAGUGAAUCAACAUCCAACAAGCGACUACUACAAAGGUAAGAAAGGAUUUUUGUGGAGUGCAAGAGAGCGACCAAAAACAUCUAGAACAGCAGCCCAUAACAUAGUUAGACUACCAGGUCGUCUGCAUACUUCUACCUUUGAAGGAUAUUUACAGCUAUGGUCCAAAAUUUUUGACGAAUCCAUGUUGGAAUGUUUAGUACAAUAUACUAAUCAAAAACUCUGUAACUA